GACGAACGCUGGCGGCGUGCUUAACACAUGCAAGUCGAACGCAGUGGCGAACGGGCGAGUAAGGCGUAAUCAACCUGCUCUUCAGACGGGGACAACAGUUGGAAACGACUGCUAAUACCGCAUACUGUAGGAGGGGAUUGCGUCUGAUUACGUAGUUGGAGGGGUAACGGCCCACCAAGGCGAUGAUCAGCAGCCGGGCUGAGAGGAUGAACGGCCACAGUGGGACUGAGACACGGCCCAGACUCCUACGGGAGGCAGCAGUGGGGAAUCUUCCGCAAUGGACGGAAGUCUGACGGAGCAAAGCCGCGUGAGUGAUGACGGCCUUCGGGUUGUAAAGCUCUGUUAAUCGGGACGCGGUACCGGAAUAGAAAGCCACGGCUAACUACGUGCCAGCAGCCGCGGUAAUAC
This 408-nucleotide ribosomal RNA is filed under the name uncultured bacterium. RNAcentral describes it as "partial 16S ribosomal RNA". It matches the Rfam family "Bacterial small subunit ribosomal RNA", at positions 28 to 526 of the family's 1533-position model. The record is from RNAcentral.